RNAcentral lists this transfer RNA (72 nucleotides) under Perkinsus olseni. It matches the Rfam family "tRNA". From Rfam's summary of the family: Transfer RNA (tRNA) molecules are approximately 80 nucleotides in length. Their secondary structure includes four short double-helical elements and three loops (D, anti-codon, and T loops). Lineage: Eukaryota; Perkinsozoa; Perkinsida; Perkinsidae. The record is from Rfam by way of RNAcentral.
GCCACUCUAUCUUAGUGGUCGAGCGUCUGCUUCGUAAGCGGAAGGUCGCCAGUUUAAUCCUGACAAGUGGCU